Molecule: ribosomal RNA, 922 nt
Filed under: Chiloplacus propinquus
Lineage: Eukaryota; Metazoa; Nematoda; Chromadorea; Rhabditida; Cephalobidae
Description: SSU rRNA
Rfam family: Eukaryotic small subunit ribosomal RNA
Source: RNAcentral
AAAGAUUAAGCCAUGCAUGUCUAAGUAUAAACGAUCUAAUCGUGAAACCGCGAAUGGCUCAUUAUAACAGCUAAAAUCUACUUGAUCUUGACACAAUCCUACUUGGAUAACUGUGGUAAUUCUAGAGCUAAUACAUGCAUUAAAGCUCUGACCUCACGGGAAGAGUGCACUUAUUAGAACAAAACCAAGCGGCUUCGGCUGUUUCUGGUUGACUCAUAGUAACUGAGCUGAUCGCACGGUCUUGCACCGGCGACGUGUCUUUCGAGUAUCUGCCGUAUCAACUUUCGAUGGUAGUGUAUCUGACUACCAUGGUGAUCACGCGUAACGGAGAAUAAGGGUUCGGCUCCGGAGAGUUCGCCUGAGAAAUCGCGAACACAUCUAAGGAAGGCAGCAGGCGCGAAAAUUACCCACUCUCAGCACGAGGAGGUAGUGACGAAAAAUAACGAGACCGUUCUCUUAUGAGGCCGGUCAUCGGAAUGGGUACAAUUUAAACCCUUUAACGAGUAUCUAUGAGAGGGCAAGUCUGGUGCCAGCAGCCGCGGUAAUUCCAGCUCUCAAAGUGCAUAGAAUUAUUGCUGCGGUUAAAAAGCUCGUAGUUGGAUCUGUGCCAUAGGACGUGGUCCACCUUCUGGGUGCGUACUAUGUUCCUAGGCUUUUUGCUGGUUUUCCCGUCGUAGCCUUAACUGGUUGCGGCGGGUGGCUGGCGAGUUUACUUUGAGAAAAUCAGAGUGCUCAACACAGGCGUAUCGCUUGAAUGAUUGUGCAUGGAAUAAUAGAAAAGGAUUUCGGUCCUCUUUUAUUGGUUUUGUGGACUGAGAUAAUGGUUAACAGGGACCAACGGGGGCAUUCGUAUCGCUGCGUGAGAGGUGAAAUUCUUGGACCGUAGCGAGACGCCCUACUGCGAAAGCAUUUGCCAAGAAUG